UUUUUUAAAAAUUGGAAUGAUACAGAGAAAAUUAGCAUGGCCCCUGUGUAAGGCUGACAUUCAAACUGUGAAGCAUUCUAUAAAAAA
This 87-nucleotide small nuclear RNA is filed under the name Dasypus novemcinctus (nine-banded armadillo). Lineage: Eukaryota; Metazoa; Chordata; Mammalia; Cingulata; Dasypodidae. The record is from RNAcentral.